UAGCGGGGGGAAUGCCGGCCUGUCUCUGGGUUCCCGCCCGGCUGUGAGUCAGGCGGCAGAGGGGACAGACCCGGCCAGGGGGCACAGAGGGGCCACCCGGGCAGAAGCACAUAUUCUGCAAUCUCAGAUUUCAGAGUCGGAGUCGGCAGGGGAAGUGGCGUCAGCAGCUGGCGUGAUCCAAUUCAAUAAACCAGAGGUGGCUAGGGACAGAAAGCCGGGCGGGCGCGGACCCCCGCCUCCCAAUCCUGCAUUUCCUGCACAGUCAGGGUGCCAUGGGAAGCCCCGGCUCCCUCCCCGCCCCGCCUAAGGCCGGCUGCUGAGGAGUCAGGUUUCCUGCGGUGCCCUCCACGUCCCCCGCAGUCUGCCGCCCCUCCUCCGGCCCAGCUCGCCACCCGGGCUCCCAAAGCCAGAGCCGCCUCCCUCUCCCGCGACCCCGGAAACGCGAAGCCCCUGCUUUGGCCAGGGCCCCUUCGAAAGAGUGCACAGAGCUCUGCUCCCCGGGGAUCCGGCCGGAGCUUCCAGGCCGCGGCACCUCUCGGGAAAGGAAACCUGACCCUCCUAUGGCCCGCGGGGACAGAAGGUGGAGAGGGGGGUGAAGAGGAGGGAACGGCGGGCGCAGGAAGCGUCUGGAGGCCUGGAGCAAGAGCGCCGGCACCCGCGAGCGGAGGGGCAGCCUCGGGAUUCCCGGAACUCAGCGACCCCUGGAAUAAGGAGCAGCCCCUUCCCCAGUGCUGGCCCCACCUGCAGGGCCCGCGUGGUUCCAGAGGGCUAGGGGCGCCACCUCGCCUCCCAGCCUCUGGGCCUCGGCGCCCAGGGCAGGGUUAGCCUGGACCUCGCUCGGGGAUUAGAGCGUGGGCCGCCGCUCCUCUGCAGACGCGCGACGAAGAUACAGAGCGACCGGGGUGGGGGUGGGGGUGAGGGGACAGCUGCGCCCUCCCCUGCCCCCGCCCGGGCGAGAAGACAGAGGACGAGAACGGGAGAGGGCACCCAGAGCGCCGGGGGGCGCAGCCCCUGUGUAUCCCGAAGACCCUGGGCAGCGCUCGCCGGGAGGUGACAGCUCCCGGCCCCGGAUCACUGUAAUUGUAAUAAAAACAGCCUGACAGCAGGGAGCGCUUAUUGUGAGCCUGGUACUCUGCUGGGUGUCCGCCGACAGGCAUUGUCUUCGGUCAGUCUCCACGCAGUCCCUAAGGUUCAUUGUAUAUGCCUGAGAGCUAACUGUGGGCCCAGCUGCGUUUCACCCUAAAGGUCCUGUGGCUGCAGACACACACCUGGAUGGAGCAGUGCUGCCCAGCGCAUCCCACCUGUGCCCAUACAGCUUCUAAUGCCAGCUUCUACCAGACCAGCCUUGUUCCCAGCCCCCAGGAGCUGCCAGAGGCCCUGAGGACUCAGCCAAGCUCUAACUGGUGGACCCUGGCUGCACAGCAGUCUCUUACAAGAAGGUACCUUACUUUGUUAAAUCAGUCGCUGCUAUGAACCUGGAUGAUUUCCAGACUCUGCUGUCACAACAGUAGGACUAUGCAGAUCCUCAACCACAGGCCUGCAAGUGUAUCUGGAGGGGAAUUGUUCGGUAGAUGCACCCCAAGGCUGCCCCAGGGUAUAUCCCCAACAGCAAUUCGAGUUAAUAUUUCCCCAUGUUGUGUCCAAACCAGUGUGUUGUUGGAUUUUUUUUAUUCUUAUCAA
Long non-coding RNA from Phacochoerus africanus (Common warthog), 1680 nucleotides. RefSeq lists it as uncharacterized. The record is from RefSeq and is a predicted model, not a curated record. Lineage: Eukaryota; Metazoa; Chordata; Mammalia; Artiodactyla; Suidae. The transcript has 5 exons.